This 379-nucleotide unclassified non-coding RNA is filed under the name Hevea brasiliensis (rubber tree). Lineage: Eukaryota; Viridiplantae; Streptophyta; Magnoliopsida; Malpighiales; Euphorbiaceae. The record is from RNAcentral.
AGAUUAAUUUGGAUCCUGAGUUCAGGUUGGUUUUUCUGAGCAAUAAAAUAAGAGAAAGCAGCAUUCAAGAUAUUACUGAUUGAUUUCUUCCAUAGUAUUUGGUGAAAUUGUCUUCAUCCUUCACUAAACACUAACGAGGCUGGUUUUGUUUUUCUACUCCAACCCCAAACACGAACACAAAACGCCCCUCCCCCCCAACAAAAAACAAAGAAGGGUUCCCUUGCACAUUCCACAUGUAAUAGUUUGACAAAGUUGUCAUACUUGGCCACCAAAAUAUCUGUAUGAUGGCGACGUACCUUGUGUUGUAUCAUUAUUUUAGCAGAAAGAACUUUCACUGUAUGUGUCAAAUAAGAGGAAAUAUUUCUUUUUUUCUUAUUUG